Molecule: ribosomal RNA, 169 nt
Filed under: uncultured bacterium
Lineage: Bacteria
Description: partial 16S ribosomal RNA
Rfam family: Bacterial small subunit ribosomal RNA
Source: RNAcentral
CCUACGGGAGGCAGCAGUGGGGAAUAUUGGACAAUGGGCGAAAGCCUGAUCCAGCAAUGCCGCGUGAGUGAUGAAGGCCUUAGGGUUGUAAAGCUCUUUUACCAGGCAUGAUAAUGACAGUACCUGGAGAAUAAGCUCCGGCUAACUCCGUGCCAGCAGCCGCGGUAAU